GCACCCAGCUCAAUGGCCACUCUAUCACGCUCCAUCCCCAUUCCCUUCUUCAUACUCAUACUACUACUCUCCAUCGUCUCUUCUUCUUCUUCUUCUUCUAGCCAGGACAACAGUACUGGCAGCGACACCGACCUUGCCGCGCUGCUAGCUUUCAAAUCCCAGCUCGCUGACCCUCGCCGUGUCCUUGCCAGCAACUGGAGUGCAGACACAUCCUUUUGCAAUUGGGUCGGUGUCUGGUGCAGCCGUCGCAGGCAACGAGUAACCGCUCUGUCGUUGCCCGACACGCCUCUCGUUGGAUCUGUGUCACCUCACGUUGGUAACCUUUCUUUCCUCUCCAUCCUCGACCUCACCGACACCAAUCUAACGGGUUCCAUUCCAGCCGAACUUGGUAGGCUACAUCGUCUUACGUACCUCAGUUUUUUCGGAAAUAGCUUGUCAAACACCAUACCUACUACCCUCGGGAACCUCACGAGGCUCAAGUUUCUUCAUCUACCUUAUAAUCAACUCUCAGGCCAGACCCCUCCUAAGAUGCUACUUCAUAUGCACAACCUUAGGGAGAUUAAUAUGUAUGCGAAUGACUUGAGUGGCCAACUACCAUCAUAUUUUUUCAACAAUACGCCUUCCUUGACAUACAUCAAUUUUGGAAAUAACAGCUUGUCAGGUCCUAUGCCACAAGCGGUUGCACACCUAUCCAUGCUCGAGGGAUUGAACCUUGAGGUUAAUCAACUCUCCGGCCUAGUACCAGAAUCCAUGUACAACAAGUCCAGGUUGCAAACGUUGGCCCUUGCAAGUAAUGGUAACCUAGCUGGAAUGUUUCCGAGCAAUCAAAGUUUUAACCUUCCAAUGUUGAAAUUUAUUUCGUUAUCUGAUAACAAAUUUUUUGGCCGGUUUCCAUCGGAGCUUGCAUCAUGCGAGUACCUGGAGAUAAUUGAUUUGGGUGAAAAUUCAUUUGAGGGCAUUGUGCCAACAGGGUUAUCCAAAUUAUCCCACCUCCAGGUUCUUCACUUAGGUUAUAAUAACAUUGUUGGUCCAAUCCCAACUGCUCUUAGCAAUCUUACCAGUCUUACAUAUCUAGAUCUCAGCGGCGGAAAUUUGACAGGGGAGAUUCCACAAGAAUUAGGUCUCAUGCUGGAACUCUCAUUUCUGUCUCUUGGAUCCAAUCAAUUGAUUGGAGAAAUUCCAGCUUCCCUUGGCAAUUUAUCAAAAUUGUCCGUUCUAAUUUUGGCAAAUAGUCAACUUUCUGGUCAAGUACCAAUAACACUUGGGGAAAAUGCAGCUUUGAGCAAGCUUAUUUUGUCAAGUAACAAUUUGGAGGGGAAUCUAGACUUCUUGUCAGCGCUUUCCCAGUGCAAACAACUCCAGGUCCUUACAAUAGAAGCUAAUUCUUUCACUGGCAUCCUCCCAAGUCUUGUAGGAAACCUUAGUUCAAAACUUGUUACUUUCAUGGCAAAUUUUAACAUGGUCCCUCUUACCUCCUUUUUUUACAUGUGAGGUAAGAAGGUAAGAGUCAAUCAAGCAGGCAUGGACUGCGGAGGAGAACCGGCACGGUGAUCUCAUGAACAAGUAUAUUAAUACUGGGAGGGCUGAUAUGAGGCAGGUGGAGAAGACCAUACAGUAUUUGGUUGGUGCUGGAAUGGAUCCGAAAACCGAGGCCAACCCUUAUGAGUUUUUCAUUUACACAUCUUUCCAAGAGAGAGCAACCUUCAUAUCUCACGGCAACACUGCAAGGCACGCCAGGAAGUACGGGGACUUGAAGCUGGCCCAGAUAUGCGGCACCAUAGCGGCUGACGAAAGGCGCCAUGAGCUUGCUUAUACCAAGAUAGUGGAGAAGCUCUUCGAGGUCGAUCCCGACUAUACGGUUCUAGCCUUCGCUAGCAUUAUGAAGAAGAAGAUCACGAUGCCCGCACACCUGAUGUAUGAUGGGCAGGCGUUUGCACUUCACCACGGUGGCACAGUGGCUGGGCGUUUGCACCGCCAUGGACCACGUACGCCUAAAUCCUCGAGUUCCUGGUCAAGAGGUGGAACGUCGCCGACCUCACUGGGUUGUCCGGGGAAGGGCAGUGCGCUCAGGAUUAGCUCUGCUCCCUAUGACAAGGUUUAGGAAGCUGGUGGAGCGAGGUCAGGGGAGCGGGAAGCAGUUGCUGAUUGUUCCUCUCAGCUGGAUCUAAGGCCGGAAAGUGCAGCUUUGACUAAGAUUUCAAGACAGGUAUAUGUAUACCAUUCUAUUUUUUUGUAUUGUACUUGUCUUCAAAAUCUGCAAUAACUGUUGAGUUAUGUAAAGACAUCUACACUGCAUAUGCCAAAUAGCUUGAAAUGACAUAAUUAU
Triticum urartu is the source of this 2326-nucleotide non-coding RNA. The record is from RefSeq and is a predicted model, not a curated record. NCBI's taxonomy places the organism in Eukaryota, Viridiplantae, Streptophyta, Magnoliopsida, Poales, Poaceae.